Molecule: ribosomal RNA, 257 nt
Filed under: uncultured bacterium
Lineage: Bacteria
Description: partial 16S ribosomal RNA
Rfam family: Bacterial small subunit ribosomal RNA
Source: RNAcentral
UAACCUACGGGAGGCAGCAGUGGGGAAUAUUGGGCAAUGGAGGAAACUCUUACCCAGCAAUGCCGCGUGAAUGAAGAAGGUCUUCGGAUUGUAAAGCUCUUUAAUUGGGGACGAAAAAAAUGACGGUACCCAAGGAAUAAGCCCCGCCUAACUACGUGCCAGCAGUCGCGGUAAUACGUAGGGGGCAAGCGUUGUUCGGAAUGACUGGGCGUAAAGGGUGUGUAGGCGGUGUAGCAAGUUAGAAGUAAAAUAACUAG